CGUGGAGACAGGUGGUGCAUGGCUGUCGUCAGCUCGUGUCGUGAGAUGUUGGGUUAAGUCCCGCAACGAGCGCAACCCUCACCCCUUGUUGCCACCGGGUUAUGCCGAGCACUCUAGGGGAACUGCCAGCGUCAAGCUGGAGGAAGGCGGGGAUGACGUCAAGUCAUCAUGCCCCUUACGCCCUGGGCGACACACGUGCUACAAUGGCUGGUACAAAGGGAUGCAAGACCGCGAGGUGGAGCUAAUCCCAAAAAACCGGUCUAAGUUCAGAUUGCAGUCUGCAACUCGACUGCAUGAAGGAGGAAUCGCUAGUAAUCGCGCAUCAGCACGGCGCGGUGAAUACGUUCCCGGGCCUUGUACACACCGCCCGUCACACCACGAAAGCCGGCUGUACUCGAAGUCGCUGAG
RNAcentral lists this ribosomal RNA (408 nucleotides) under uncultured Methylomirabilota bacterium. RNAcentral's name for it is "bacterial SSU rRNA". It matches the Rfam family "Bacterial small subunit ribosomal RNA", at positions 1027 to 1434 of the family's 1533-position model. The record is from RNAcentral. Lineage: Bacteria; Methylomirabilota (SeqCode).